This 807-nucleotide ribosomal RNA is filed under the name uncultured archaeon. Its description in RNAcentral is "bacterial SSU rRNA". It matches the Rfam family "Archaeal small subunit ribosomal RNA", at positions 547 to 1353 of the family's 1478-position model. The record is from RNAcentral.
AAAUCUGUACGCUCAACGUACAGGCUGCCGGGAAUACUGCAGAGCUAGGGAGUGGGAGAGGUAGACGGUACUCGGGAGGAAGUGGUAAAAUGCUUUGAUCUUUCGAUGACCACCUGUGGCGAAGGCGGUCUACCAGAACACGUCCGACGGUGAGGGAUGAAAGCUGGGGGAGCAAACCGGAUUAGAUACCCGGGUAGUCCCAGCUGUAAACUAUGCAAACUCAGUGAUGCAUUGGCUUGUGGCCAAUGCAGUGUUGCAGGGAAGCCGUUAAGUUUGCCGCCUGGGAAGUACGUACGCAAGUAUGAAACUUAAAGGAAUUGGCGGGGGAGCACCACAAGGGGUGAAGCCUGCGGUUCAAUUGGAGUCAACGCCAGAAAUCUUACCCGGAGAGACAGCAGAAUGAAGGUCAAGCUGAAGACUUUACCAGACAAGCUGAGAGGUGGUGCAUGGCCGUCGCCAGCUCGUGCCGUGAGAUGUCCUGUUAAGUCAGGUAACGAGCGAGAUCCCUGCCUCUAGUUGCCACCAUUACUCUCAGGAGUAGUGGGGCGAAUUAGCGGGACCGCCGCAGUUAAUGCGGAGGAAGGAAGGGGCCACGGCAGGUCAGUAUGCCCCGAAACUCUGGGGCCACACGCGGGCUGCAAUGGUAACGACAAUGGGUUCCGAACCCGAAAGGAAGAGGUAAUCCUCAAACGUUACCACAGUUAUGACUGAGGGCUGCAACUCGCCCUCACGAAUAUGGAAUCCCUAGUAACUGCGUGUCAUUAUCGCGCGGUGAAUACGUCCCUGCUCCUUGCACACACCGCCCGU